AAGAGAAAGGAUGAAAGUCCAACCUCCAACCCUCUGUUUUAAACCACUAGUUGCCUUGCCUUAUGUCGGCUGACUGAGGUGUGGGGAAACCCGCACCGCUCUCACGCAGGCCUCUGGGGCAAUGGAUCUACAAACUCGAAUAUCAGUGUAGUCUGAGCAAAAAUUCAAUGAAUUA
RNAcentral lists this unclassified non-coding RNA (175 nucleotides) under uncultured Helotiales. RNAcentral describes it as "sequence contains ITS1". The record is from RNAcentral. Lineage: Eukaryota; Fungi; Ascomycota; Leotiomycetes; Helotiales.